Molecule: ribosomal RNA, 301 nt
Filed under: uncultured bacterium
Lineage: Bacteria
Description: bacterial SSU rRNA
Rfam family: Bacterial small subunit ribosomal RNA
Source: RNAcentral
CGGCUUCCUGGAACAGUCCUGACACUGAGAGCGAAAAGCGUGGGGAGCAAAACAGGGAUUUAGAUACCCUGGUAGUCCACGCCCUAAAACGAUGGGUACUAAGUGUGGAGGGGUUAAACCCUCCGUGCCGCAGCAAACGCAGUAAGUACCCCGCCUGGGGAGUACGGCCGCAAGGUUAAAACUCAAAGGAAUUGACGGGGGCCCGCACAAGCGGUGGUGCAUGUGGUUUAAUUCGACGCAACGCGAGGAACCUUACCUAGGCUUGACAUGUGGUGAGUAGCGAACCGAAAGGGGAGCGACC